This is a long non-coding RNA of Myxocyprinus asiaticus (Chinese sucker), 600 nucleotides long. RefSeq lists it as uncharacterized. NCBI's taxonomy places the organism in Eukaryota, Metazoa, Chordata, Actinopteri, Cypriniformes, Catostomidae. The transcript is spliced from 3 exons. The record is from RefSeq and is a predicted model, not a curated record.
UGGGCGCGGAUGCAAACAUAAAUAUAAUCGGUCAAGGCUUGUUGAUGGGUUACCGAACACAAGACGAAAAUACCUUCAGUGAUUGACCAGUAUAGUUUAGCGAAUGGCAACCGUUAUGAGGGCACCUGGAGGGAUGGAAAGAAGGAUGGCCAUAGCCAGGGCUGUAGUAAGAAAUUCUGGGCCCCCUGAAUUGCUCUGGGCCCCUUUCAUAUGAAAAAUACAGUUUAAAAUUUGUUGUGGGCCCCUAGAAUAGUUACCACCUUUCACCCCAUUAGCUACGGCCCUGGCCAUGGCAAGUUUUUCUACCUGGACUGAGGUCAGCUGUAUGAAGACUUUUGGGUUGAUGGUGUUGCUAAGUGCGAAACAGUCUCUUAUUUUGGGAGAGAGAAAGCACUUAGGCCAACGGUGUACCCAAUCCCCAAGGUUUGCUUACUGGAUGCAGAGUUUGUACUGAUGGAGGCACAAGCAUUUUUCACCAAGGACAAAGAGAAAUCAACAACAAACACUAUUCCAAGCCAUACAGUUGUUAGGCAAUGUCUACCCUGACAAAAUUGUGAUUUGAGCCUAAGAAGGAAAGACUUGUUUUAAGAGUGCAUUGAA